UCGGGAAUUUUGGGCAAUGGGCGAAAGCCUGACCCAGCAACGCCGCGUGAAGGAUGAAGUAUUUCGGUAUGUAAACUUCGAAAGAAUAGGAAGAAUAAAUGACGGUACUAUUUAUAAGGUCCGGCUAACUACGUGCCAGCAGCCGCGGUAAUACGUAGGGACCAAGCGUUGUUCGGAUUUACUGGGCGUAAAGGGCGCGUAGGCGGCAAUUCAAGUCAUCUGUGAAAUCUCCGGGCUUAACUCGGAACGGUCAGAUGAUACUGCUUUGCUAGAGUGCAGAAGGGGCAAUCGGAAUUCUUGGUGUAGCGGUGAAAUGCGUAGAUAUCAAGAGGAACACCAGUGGCGAAGGCGGCGAUCUGGACGGAUACUGACGCUGAGGUGCGAAAGCGUGGGGAGCAAACAGGAUUAGAUACCCACGUAGUCCCUGAGCGGGCUGGCAAGGCGCAU
Molecule: ribosomal RNA, 447 nt
Filed under: uncultured bacterium
Lineage: Bacteria
Description: bacterial SSU rRNA
Rfam family: Bacterial small subunit ribosomal RNA
Source: RNAcentral